AGCGAACGCUGGCGGCAGGCCUAACACAUGCAAGUCGAACGAACUCUUCGGAGUUAGUGGCGGACGGGUGAGUAACACGUGGGAACGUGCCUUUAGGUUCGGAAUAACUCAGGGAAACUUGUGCUAAUACCGAAUGUGCCCUUCGGGGGAAAGAUUUAUCGCCUUUAGAGCGGCCCGCGUCUGAUUAGCUAGUUGGUGAGGUAAAGGCUCACCAAGGCGACGAUCAGUAGCUGGUCUGAGAGGAUGAUCAGCCACAUUGGGACUGAGACACGGCCCAAACCCCUCGGGGGGGCAGCAGGGGGGAAUCUUGGGCAAUGGGCGAAAGCCUGACGCAGCCCUGCCGGGUGAAUGAUGAAGGUUUUAGGUUUGAAAAAUUCUUUCCCCGGGGACGAAAAUGACGGUACCCGGAGAAGAAGCCCCGGCUAACUUCGG
This 432-nucleotide ribosomal RNA is filed under the name uncultured bacterium. Its description in RNAcentral is "partial 16S ribosomal RNA". It matches the Rfam family "Bacterial small subunit ribosomal RNA", at positions 29 to 506 of the family's 1533-position model. The record is from RNAcentral.